Acanthochromis polyacanthus (spiny chromis) is the source of this 1114-nucleotide long non-coding RNA. RefSeq lists it as uncharacterized. NCBI's taxonomy places the organism in Eukaryota, Metazoa, Chordata, Actinopteri, Pomacentridae. The record is from RefSeq and is a predicted model, not a curated record. The transcript has 3 exons.
UUAAGUCAGUCGGAAAGCCUGCAGUAGAACGCUGCACAACAUGCUACAGUUUGUUUCACUGCCCCCUUUGCCCAAAGGCAUGUUUAAACCAAGCAUCCCGUCGAAGCUUCAGCGACAUUUGGAGGUCCACCUAAAAAAUGCCAUUACAUUUGAAGGUAAUGUCAUUGCAUUUUAGAUUAAAGUUAUACGCACAUGCACACAAUUGUGUCAUGUGACUUGUUUGUCAUUGUCUAAUCUAAACAUUUUCUUGACUUGCUUUUAGAUAAGAAGAUCUGGACAGAUACAUCAAAAGCCCUCCUGCAAGGUGAGGUGUCACCAGUGUUUAGGCUGAAGAAAAGAAGGGUGGAUGACAUUACUACGGAAGAAGAGCAGCAAACUGAGGUUUCAGUCAGACCUGCUGAUGUGAGCACACCAGUGGAAGGGGACUCGGUUGAAGUGCGUAUUCUGCAUGAUUGCAGACAUGCAGCAGAGUGGGUUGAGGCCAAUAAGACACUCUUCUCUGCCAGAGUGGACCUGCCUGAUGUUCUAUACAUGGGGGAGGAGGAACAGGCUGAGGCUGCUCUGCAGUAUAAAAGACUGGGGCAAGAAGACAUGGAUGAGCAGGAAUGGGAAGAAAUCCUGGAGGUCUUCAAAUUCACAUUCUACAACAUUGAGGACAUGUGGAAAUUCUGUGACAUAGUAGUGGACGAAAAAAAUUAUUUGGCAUAUUGUGAAUGUCACAAAGAUGAAUAAUUGAAGGAUAACAGAACAUUUGAUCAUGUUGUGACUUUGUGUGUUCAUGUUUUGUUUUCUCAUUGAGCACUUAAUAAUUCACCUGAACUACACUGUAGAUCUCAAGAGUUUGGGUGGUAGUUGGUGGUAUUUAGGUGCUCCAGCAGCACAAGAACAUAAUUAGCAUAGACAAAAGAUCCUCGGCUUUAUAGGCUACAAAUAGACACUUGAGCCCCAAGUCACCCACGUUUAUGUUUUCUGUAAUGACCUAAGCUGUAAUAUUACACAAAACAGUGUAUAUUGCUCUAUGUACAUGGCAAUCAUGAAUGAGAAGUGUUUUGGAAAAGACAAAUGCUAAUGCUUCACUUGUCCAAAUAAAAAGAACCAGAAAAGCACUCAGAGA